Molecule: ribosomal RNA, 500 nt
Filed under: uncultured bacterium
Lineage: Bacteria
Description: bacterial SSU rRNA
Rfam family: Bacterial small subunit ribosomal RNA
Source: RNAcentral
GACGAACGCUGGCGGCGUGCCUAAUACAUGCAAGUCGAACGGUCUUUUCUAUGGAAGCUUGCUUCCACUGAGAAGAUAGUGGCGAACGGGUGAGUAACACGUGGGUAACCUGCCCAUAAGAGGGGGAUAACAUCCGGAAACGGGUGCUAAUACCGCAUAGUUUUCUUGAUCGCAUGAUUGAGAAAGGAAAGACGGCCUUUGCGCUGUCGCUUAUGGAUGGACCCGCGGCGUAUUAGUUAGUUGGUGAGGUAACGGCUCACCAAGACGAUGAUACGUAGCCGACCUGAGAGGGUGAUCGGCCACAUUGGGACUGAGACACGGCCCAAACUCCUACGGGAGGCAGCAGUAGGGAAUCUUCCGCAAUGGACGAAAGUCUGACGGAGCAACGCCGCGUGAGUGAAGAAGGUUUUCGGAUCGUAAAACUCUGUUGUCAGAGAAGAACAAGUUGGAGAGUAACUGCUCCAGCCUUGACGGUAUCUGACCAGAAAGCCACGGCUAAC